RNAcentral lists this ribosomal RNA (492 nucleotides) under uncultured bacterium. Its description in RNAcentral is "partial 16S ribosomal RNA". It matches the Rfam family "Bacterial small subunit ribosomal RNA", at positions 29 to 507 of the family's 1533-position model. The record is from RNAcentral.
AGUGAACGCUGGCGGUAGGCCUAACACAUGCGAGUCGAACGGCAGCACAGUAAGAGCUUGCUCUUACGGGUGGCGAGUGGCGGACGGGUGAGGAAUACAUCGGAAUCUACUUUUUCGUGGGGGAUAACGUAGGGAAACUUACGCUAAUACCGCAUACGACCUACGGGUGAAAGCAGGGGAUCUUCGGACCUUGCGCGAUUGAAUGAGCCGAUGUCGGAUUAGCUAGUUGGCGGGGUAAAGGCCCACCAAGGCGACGAUCCGUAGCUGGUCUGAGAGGAUGAUCAGCUACACUGGAACUGAGACACGGUCCAGACUCCUACGGGAGGCAGCAGUGGGGAAUAUUGGACAAUGGGCGCAAGCCUGAUCCAGCCAUACCGCGUGGGUGAAGAAGGCCUUCGGGUUGUAAAGCCCUUUUGUUGGGAAAGAAAAGCAGCAGGUUAAUACCCCGCUGUUCUGACGGUACCCAAAGAAUAAGCACCGGCUAACUUCGUG